GACGAACGCUGGCGGCGUGCUUAACACAUGCAAGUCGAACGAAGAGCGACGGAAGCUUGCUUCUAUCAAUCUUAGUGGCGAACGGGUGAGUAACGCGUAAUCAACCUGCCCUUCAGAGGGGGACAACAGUUGGAAACGACUGCUAAUACCGCAUACGAUCUAAUCUCGGCAUCGAGGAUAGAUGAAAGGUGGCCUCUACAUGUAAGCUAUCACUGAAGGAGGGGAUUGCGUCUGAUUAGCUAGUUGGAGGGGUAACGGCCCACCAAGGCGAUGAUCAGUAGCCGGUCUGAGAGGAUGAACGGCCACAUUGGGACUGAGACACGGCCCAGACUCCUACGGGAGGCAGCAGUGGGGAAUCUUCCGCAAUGGACGAAAGUCUGACGGAGCAACGCCGCGUGAGUGAUGACGGCCUUCGGGUUGUAAAGCUCUGUUAAUCGGGACGAAAGGCCUUCUUGCGAAUAUUGAGAAGG
RNAcentral lists this ribosomal RNA (470 nucleotides) under Veillonella parvula. RNAcentral's name for it is "bacterial SSU rRNA". It matches the Rfam family "Bacterial small subunit ribosomal RNA", at positions 28 to 471 of the family's 1533-position model. The record is from RNAcentral. Lineage: Bacteria; Bacillati; Bacillota; Negativicutes; Veillonellales; Veillonellaceae.